Non-coding RNA from Bemisia tabaci, 2610 nucleotides. The record is from RefSeq and is a predicted model, not a curated record. Lineage: Eukaryota; Metazoa; Arthropoda; Insecta; Hemiptera; Aleyrodidae.
ACAAGGCCCAUUACAUGUAUAUCAGGUUGUAUCAAAUAAGCUGAAGGGGCGUCCGUACCUUGCUUUACCCCCCUACCUGUCUUACUUCUCCCUCGUAUGGGGCCUGGCGCGCGGUCUACAUUGUGUUAGAAGUCGAUUUGUAUGCUUGAUGUACCUUCCCUCCGCUCCGACGGGCGCCAUCUUGUUCUUGUUGAUGCAUUUUUCGACUGUUAGUGUGCGGCUCUUUUUAUUUGAUCUUUCCAUUUUAGAAUUAGUUAAUUUUCAAUGGCUGACAAGAAAGCUUUCCUGUUUUGAUGGAUGGAAUGAUUACAUUUCUUGGAGAAGGGACCUACAUGCUCGUUUAUUCGCACGCGACGCGACAUUUUAAGCUGGAAACGUAUAUUAAUCUAUAGUUUUUCACACACCUCUCUUUCUUACCUUACGUGUUCUUAUAUGCUGAAUUGCUUGUAUGAACUGUGUUUCUCCUUUUAGAUCUAUUUCUCAUCCUUUAGUUAGUGUCUCAAAGGUAAAGCGGACGUUAGCUGUUCAGAUGUUUCUAUCAUUCAUUUUAAUUAAUUCUUAACGUGUUAUGCUCAUUAACCUCUGUUUGUAGUCAAAUAUAUGCUCAGUUUUGUGUUCGAUUCGGUUCUGAUUAGGAGCCGAAAGAAAUUCAUUUUAGAGUAAAUUUCUGACCCCUUUCCAUCACUAUUGCAGGAUUAUACUUGUCAGUGUGAAAGUUCUAGAUAAUAUGAUGUCGCCUAAGAUAAUCUCUGAAUUUUAAGUCAUCCCAUGACAAUUCAGUGGCCCCUUUCGGUGAUCCUCUUAACUUCUAACAACUGUUUCUUCAGCUCUUCGGCUGAUAUAUAGUUAAAGUUGGACUCAAAUGAAGGGUUUUAUUGUCUCAUUGCCACUUAUUUAUAGAUAGCAAAAUGAAACUUGAGGGAAGACUAGGGUGUAUGACUAUACAGGGAAGGGGGGGGGGAGGUGUUAAAGUUAAAACUGUAAACUAGCAUGUCUUGUAUACGAUCUAUCACCUAGAGAUGAAAGAACCCAGCAUAGAACAGGGGGCUCAGUGGCUCCUGGUAGAUUUUGAUGAAACUUCAGUACAUUACAAUGAAGUUUAUCAUCAGCCGGAAGCCAAACAAUUACCUCAUUCCAACAAGUAAAAGCCAAAUUAUUCGCGUUUAAACACAGGCCAAUUUCUGUGCGGCGGAGACAAUUAGGCGCUCCACGUAGCCAUUCUUCGUGCCUGAACACAUCAGACUUUGGAUGGGAAACCCUUUUUCUCCUCCAGGUAGCUGCUCAGAUCAGAUCGGGCAAUGAGAUAUAGAGUCCUCUAUCUCUUGCACCUCACCUCUGAAAUUACUGAAGAGCUACUGAAACAGAAUCGGCAGAUGCGGGGAGAAGGGGAGCGUACAGCCUUUGCACCUGUCUAACGUAUGAACACCUAACUGCGUGUGAGGUCUGAUCGAAAACGCCUAACAGCCAGAGGAGAGGGGAUUUGUAAGUCCUCCGUCAUGCUGUGAUAUUAUAGAAAACAGUCCGGGUUCAAUGGCUAAUAUCUUGACUUCUACUCGUUAGAAUAAGGUAAUUGUUUGGCUUUGUGUUGAUGAUGAACUUCAUUUUAAUCUAUUAAAGUUUCAUCAAAACCUACCGGGAGCCACUGAGCCCCCUGUUCUGUGCGGGAGUCGUUGUCCCAACAUUUAGAAAAAACCAUCAUUUUUUCAUCUUGUAUGCAUGACAUUGGUCCAUUUUGAAAUUUUCAUCCAGUAUGAGUCAGUAAAGUCCUUUUUUUUUAUUGUGUCAUUCGAAAGUAGUAAGUGACCGAAGCUUACAGUUUUUCUCCUAAAUUUUUUUGAUGACUGCAAACGGGAGAAAAGUUUAUUCGAAAGUGCCUAAAAUUAGGGUGGCCUAAAACGGCGUUGGAACCGCGCGCUCGUAGGUUUCUAAUGUACACGUCACGAUCAAUAUGGAGGCGGAAUGCGUAGUGGAAGAAUACACAGCGGCGUUGCGUUGGUGGCGGUAUGUUUUUGUUGGUCAAUUGGAGGUUAUUUAGGUUACUUUGUUUGAGAUUCAUAUCCAUUGUUCUUAAUUCUCGAAGCUAUUCAAUCAGAAUGCGACACAGAUGUAUGUUGGAUAUGAAACAUUCACAUAGAACUUACUUAACCUCAAACGAGAAAUCGUGAUGUCAACAUCGGCAGCGUGGCGGCAGUGAGCAGGUGGGUUUUGCCGACUGGCGACUUGGACGGUCAACCGUUGGAAUUCGGCGAUUUACCCCGAAUCUCCACCGCGGCGGUGCGUUUUCGGGGGUUCGGCACUCUCAACGUUGUGACGGACCGCCGCCAUAUUUGUUUACGAAACCAAGCCUACCGAUCGCAUGCCCAAGCAUCGUGUGCUGAUCGAUUAUAGUAUAAUAAUUCAAAAUUAAUUUUAUCGUUUCAGUCGUUCCAUUUUAGCCUCAAUAAGCUAAGCUCACCGUUACGCGAACCUGGACCCGGGAAAUCUAACUGGAGAGGUCUUGUGCCUGCGGGGAGGGAGUUGGGCGCUGCUGACACACUUCACAGUGAAAUUGACCAAAAUUGUCCCAGAAAAAUGUUAGUACUCUCACUGAAUAAGGGGGAGGGGACAAUC